UCCGUGCCAGCAGCCGCGGUAAUACGGAGGGUGCGAGCGUUAAUCGGAAUUACUGGGCGUAAAGGGUGCGUAGGUGGUUGAUUAAGUUAUCUGUGAAAUUCCUGGGCUUAACCUGGGACGGUCAGAUAAUACUGGUUGACUCGAGUAUGGGAGAGGGUAGUGGAAUUUCCGGUGUAGCGGUGAAAUGCGUAGAGAUCGGAAGGAACACCAGUGGCGAAGGCGGCUACCUGGCCUAAUACUGACACUGAGGCACGAAAGCGUGGGGAGCAAACAGGAUUAGAUACCCUGGUAGUCCACGCUGUAAACGAUGUCAACU
Molecule: ribosomal RNA, 316 nt
Filed under: uncultured Legionella sp.
Lineage: Bacteria; Pseudomonadati; Pseudomonadota; Gammaproteobacteria; Legionellales; Legionellaceae
Description: bacterial SSU rRNA
Rfam family: Bacterial small subunit ribosomal RNA
Source: RNAcentral